GCCGCUGAACGGCGAGCGUGCCGGCUGGCGCGCCGCUGGCAACACUUAACCGCCGUCGAAAAAGUUCCUGAGAUCCUUAAAAA
Etheostoma spectabile (orangethroat darter) is the source of this 83-nucleotide long non-coding RNA. RefSeq lists it as uncharacterized. NCBI's taxonomy places the organism in Eukaryota, Metazoa, Chordata, Actinopteri, Perciformes, Percidae. The record is from RefSeq and is a predicted model, not a curated record. The transcript has 3 exons.